CCGACGCAACAGGAUUCUGAUAAAGCGGCCUUAUUCUGCAAAACCUUCCAGCGUGAACAAUCCUCCCUGGAGCAGGCAGGGAAAUUCCUAGGAUGCCAGGACACCGGGCGGGCCGGAGGGGGAGGGCGCGAAACUCAGGUGAACUUCCCACCGUGGGCCGAGGGCCGAGCGAGGGCCGAGGGGCCUGGCCUUUCAGCCAUCGUCGUUUCAUUCGGUCAAGAAGUCGACGCCUAUUUGAUGAGCGCGUCCCAAGUGCUGGGCCCCGAUCCAGAGUCCCUGGGGAGGCGACACCUUCGUGGGAUCACAGAGCUCCCGGACUUUGAACAAGCGGCCCCGAUGCACAGUCCGGUGGCGGCUGGCGAGCAAGUCUUGGUUUCUCAUGAGCAAGUGGAAAUAUAUGGCCCGUGACAUCUUUUGUUCCUUCUAAGUAGCCCUGGCAUUUGAGGGCUCCUCAUCUAGAAAAUGUUCCAAGUCUCACUGCCAUGUAUCCCGACCGUGCUGUGGACAGUUUUGAGCAUCCUUUAGGAGAGAAUAAGAUCCAACUGGCCCCUCAUCAUGACCUUCCCACCCCGCUGGCUUGAAGCCUAUUCCACCCAGUGGGCCAACACUCCUCAACCCAGGGCCCCAGGACGGCCUGCGUGGAAUCGCUGAGAACAAGCAACCUGACCUGAUUCUCCACACCUGCAAGUCUUGAUGUCUGUAUGGAGCUCUUCAGACUGGGUGCAUGUUUUGGAAGCCACAGCCAUUCCAGUGGUUACCCUGGUGAGAUGGGUGCUCCCAGACCAGAAUACAGAUUUCCAUUGUCCAGACCAGCAGUGGGAGGACAGGUCUUUGAGUUUCUUACUGAGGAGAACCAGCAUCAUGAAGGUUCUGGGAUGUGGCUCCAUUGUGCAUUGGACAGCUCCAAGAGAGGAGGGUCCCUGGGCUGCCUACUAAUGAGUACUCAGUACCUCAGUACUGAGACAUCAGCUGUUCCCGACUCACAAGGGAGGAAUGAUGGUAGCGAUCCCGAGUAGCGAAGUCUGCGUUCUCCUGGGUGAGCUGAGUCAUCUUCGUGUCAACCCUAGCCAGGGACGGUGCCAAAAUUAUCUGCUCUUGGGGAGAUCUCAAGCUCCUUCAGGGAGAGAAACACAGAGGCGGUCAGAUAGAAAAAGUGUUAAACAGUGGAGAUGUCUCCUCUAGGAUAGAAUAAUGCUUUGCAAAAAAAUGUCAUUGUGCUUAUUAUUUUACAUGUAUUUAUUUAAAAAAAUUUUAUUGGAGUUCAAUUUGCCAACAUAUAGCAUAACAUCCAGUGCUCAUCCCACCAAGUGCCCCCCUCAGUGCCCAUCACCCAGUCACCCCAACCUCCCACCCACUUCCCUUUUCACUACCCCUUGUUCGUUUCCCAGAUUAACAUGUAUUUAAAUAAAAUAACCCAAACUAUAAAAAAUAAAUAUCAAAUGAGGACAGUGAUCUUUACCUCUCUUUAAUAGAAACAUAUAAAACUGUACCCACCCAAUAGGAGACAACCCUCAAGGAUAACCUUCCAAAUGGUGUCAUGUUGGGGCCCUACAGCUUUCCUUUGCUUUCUUGCCAAAUGAAGUAAUGGGAUGGAGAGGCUGGAAAACCAAGAGUGGAAAGAGAAGCUUUCUCUUUGGUUCUUUGGAAAGAACAUCGAAUGAGGAAUGAUUUCUGGGGCUGAGGUUUACUUAGGAAGCAGUUAUGAGGGGAGCUGCAAAGACUUUUGGCACUAAAUUAGCCUGAAGACAAAAAGCAAGUCGUGUUGUGGAUUCCAUUGUCACUGAAGUGUCUACACACAGUUGGAGUUAGAAUAAACUGGGAAAGGAAAAUGUGAGAUACAAGAGGAAAGUGCUAGAGGCAGAAUGCAGUAGGAAAGAUCAGACCGGCAGUCAGAGCGCCUGCAGAGGAUGGACAGUCCCAGCGCUGCCAUCAGCCUCACCGCCCAGGCCAUCAGACCUCUGCCGCCUUGAUUUCUCAUCUUCGGUUCCCUCAGUCUAUCGUAGGUCCUUAACUCACACCUCAGGCAGGGAUUUCCUCAACAUUUUACUCAAAAGGAAUCUACUUUGUGAGUAGUGAUGUUUGAUUGUUUAAAGAAUAUAUUCGACAAUUACUUUAAAGAGGGAGCAACCUGACCUCCUGCACUCGUGGAACCUCAGUGGGAAGUGCCGGUUGCCUCUGACAAUAGAAGUUCCGAAGUCACAGGACUAAGGCUUGUAGCCACUUUCUGAGAACAUAUCUAAAUUAGAUACAUGGAGAUUUUCUGAGAAAUGAGUGAGCUGCUAUAAAGGGUGAAUCUUCAAGAAGUAACAUAGUCAACAUACAAGGUGUUUAUGCCAGUGUAUUUUUUGUUGUUAAUGCUUUUUUUUUUUCUUUUAAAGGUAAAACCAUUGUAUUCUUCUGAGUUCAGGUAAAUACUAUGCUUCACUUUUAGACUAGAAUGGCCUGAGAAUUCUUACUUGCUAGGACUUCUGGGAAGAAAGCCCUGUCAAGGUUAGGCUUUAUUUCACAUAAUUCUGGGAAUUGUAUACAUAACAGAAGGAACAACAUAGCCAAAGUCCUUUGCCCAAACAAAUUCUUUGUUUCUUUCUUUAAAAAAUUCUUUUUUAAAAAAUAUUCUUUUUUUAAAAAAAUAUUUUAUUUAUUCAUGAGAGUCACAGACUGAGAGAGGCAGAGACACAGGCAGAGGGAG
Molecule: long non-coding RNA, 2689 nt
Organism: Canis lupus familiaris (dog)
Lineage: Eukaryota; Metazoa; Chordata; Mammalia; Carnivora; Canidae
Exons: 5
Source: RefSeq, a predicted model, not a curated record